Molecule: ribosomal RNA, 1437 nt
Filed under: uncultured organism
Description: partial small subunit ribosomal RNA
Rfam family: Bacterial small subunit ribosomal RNA
Source: RNAcentral
GCUUAACACAUGCAAGUCGAACGGAAAGGCCCUGCUUUUGUGGGGUGCUCGAGUGGCGAACGGGUGAGUAACACGUGAGUAACCUGCCCUUGACUUUGGGAUAACUUCAGGAAACUGGGGCUAAUACCGGAUAGGAGCUCCUGCUGCAUGGUGGGGGUUGGAAAGUUUCGGCGGUUGGGGAUGGACUCGCGGCUUAUCAGCUUGUUGGUGGGGUAGUGGCUUACCAAGGCUUUGACGGGUAGCCGGCCUGAGAGGGUGACCGGCCACAUUGGGACUGAGAUACGGCCCAGACUCCUACGGGAGGCAGCAGUGGGGAAUAUUGCACAAUGGGCGGAAGCCUGAUGCAGCAACGCCGCGUGCGGGAUGACGGCCUUCGGGUUGUAAACCGCUUUCGCCUGUGACGAAGCGUGAGUGACGGUAAUGGGUAAAGAAGCACCGGCUAACUACGUGCCAGCAGCCGCGGUGAUACGUAGGGUGCGAGCGUUGUCCGGAUUUAUUGGGCGUAAAGGGCUCGUAGGUGGUUGAUCGCGUCGGAAGUGUAAUCUUGGGGCUUAACCCUGAGCGUGCUUUCGAUACGGGUUGACUUGAGGAAGGUAGGGGAGAAUGGAAUUCCUGGUGGAGCGGUGGAAUGCGCAGAUAUCAGGAGGAACACCAGUGGCGAAGGCGGUUCUCUGGGCCUUUCCUGACGCUGAGGAGCGAAAGCGUGGGGAGCGAACAGGCUUAGAUACCCUGGUAGUCCACGCUGUAAACGGUGGGUACUAGGUGUGGGGUCCAUUCCACGGGUUCCGUGCCGUAGCUAACGCUUUAAGUACCCCGCCUGGGGAGUACGGCCGCAAGGCUAAAACUCAAAGGAAUUGACGGGGCCCCGCACAAGCGGCGGAGCAUGCGGAUUAAUUCGAUGCAACGCGUAGAACCUUACCUGGGUUUGACAUGGAUCGGGAGUGCUCAGAGAUGGGCGUGCCUCUUUUGGGGUCGGUUCACAGGUGGUGCAUGGCUGUCGUCAGCUCGUGUCGUGAGAUGUUGGGUUAAGUCCCGCAACGAGCGCAACCCUUGUUCACUGUUGCCAGCACGUUAUGGUGGGGACUCAGUGGAGACCGCCGGGGUCAACUCGGAGGAAGGUGGGGAUGACGUCAAGUCAUCAUGCCCCUUAUGUCCAGGGCUUCACGCAUGCUACAAUGGCUGGUACAGAGAGUGGCGAGCCUGUGAGGGUGAGCGAAUCUCGGAAAGCCGGUCUCAGUUCGGAUUGGGGUCUGCAACUCGACCUCAUGAAGUCGGAGUCGCUAGUAAUCGCAGAUCAGCAACGCUGCGGUGAAUACGUUCCCGGGGCUUGUACACACCGCCCGUCAAGUCAUGAAAGUUGGUAACACCCGAAGCCGGUGGCCUAACCGUUGUGGGGGAGCCGUCGAAGGUGGGACUGGUGAUUAGGACUAAGUCAUA